UAGUGCAGGCAUUCGAAAAUC
This 21-nucleotide non-coding RNA is filed under the name Caenorhabditis elegans. Lineage: Eukaryota; Metazoa; Nematoda; Chromadorea; Rhabditida; Rhabditidae. The record is from RNAcentral.